UACGUAGGGGGCAAGCGUUGUCCGGAUUUAUUGGGCGUAAAGAGCGUGUAGGCGGCCAAACAGGUCAGCUGUGAAAACUCGAGGCUCAACCUCGAGACGUCGGUUGAAACCGUAUGGCUAGAGUCCGGAAGAGGAGAGUGGAAUUCCCGGUGUAGCGGUGAAAUGCGCAGAUAUCAGGAGGAACACCGAUGGCGAAGGCAGGUCUCUGGGCCAUAACUGACGCUGAGAAGCGAAAGCAUGGGGAGCGAACAGG
RNAcentral lists this ribosomal RNA (253 nucleotides) under uncultured bacterium. RNAcentral's name for it is "partial 16S ribosomal RNA". It matches the Rfam family "Bacterial small subunit ribosomal RNA", at positions 524 to 776 of the family's 1533-position model. The record is from RNAcentral.